CACGUCAGCGCCAGUUGCUGACGUGGCAGCAAAUCGCGUCCUAGAGGGCGUGAUUUGUUGCCAUGUCAUCAACUCGCGCUGACGUGG
Non-coding RNA from Gossypium hirsutum (cotton), 87 nucleotides. The record is from Rfam. NCBI's taxonomy places the organism in Eukaryota, Viridiplantae, Streptophyta, Magnoliopsida, Malvales, Malvaceae.